Molecule: ribosomal RNA, 445 nt
Filed under: Odorrana hosii (Mount Dulit frog)
Lineage: Eukaryota; Metazoa; Chordata; Amphibia; Anura; Ranidae
Description: partial 16S ribosomal RNA
Rfam family: Bacterial large subunit ribosomal RNA
Source: RNAcentral
UUAUACUGUCUCCUCUCUCCAAUCAGUGAAACUGAUCUCCCCGUGAAGAAGCGGGGAUUCAAUUAUAAGACGAGAAGACCCCAUGGAGCUUUAAACCCAAUUUGCACCCCUACCACCCCAAACAUCAACCAAACCUCAGGGGCCUGUACAUUGGUUUUAGGUUGGGGGGACCACGGAGCAAAAUAAAACCUCCAUAACAAAUGGGCUAACACCCUUACCUGCGAUUUACAAAUCCAAGAAUCAUUAAAAUGAUGUUUAAUGACCCAAUAAGUUGAUCAAUGAACCAAGUUACCCUGGGGAUAACAGCGCAAUCCACUCCAAGAGCCCGUAUCGACAAGUGGGUUUACGACCUCGAUGUUGGAUCAGGGUAUCCCAGUGGUGCAGCCGCUACUAAGGGUUCGUUUGUUCAACGAUUAAAACCCUACGUGAUCUGAGUUCAGACCGG